RNAcentral lists this ribosomal RNA (465 nucleotides) under uncultured bacterium. RNAcentral describes it as "partial 16S ribosomal RNA". It matches the Rfam family "Bacterial small subunit ribosomal RNA", at positions 28 to 507 of the family's 1533-position model. The record is from RNAcentral.
GACGAACGCUGGCGGCGUGCUUAACACAUGCAAGUCGAACGGAAAGGCCCUGCUUGCAGGGUCCUCGAGUGGCGAACGGGUGAGUAACACGUGGGUGAUCUGCCCUGCACUUCGGGAUAAGCCUGGGAAACUGGGUCUAAUACCGGAUAGGAGCCAUUUUUAGUGUGAUGGUUGGAAAGUUUUUUCGGUGUAGGAUGAGCUCGCGGCCUAUCAGCUUGUUGGUGGGGUAAUGGCCUACCAAGGCGGCGACGGGUAGCCGGCCUGAGAGGGUGGACGGCCACAUUGGGACUGAGAUACGGCCCAGACUCCUACGGGAGGCAGCAGGGGGGAAUAUUGCACAAUGGGCGCAAGCCUGAUGCAGCGACGCCGCGUGGGGGAUGACGGCCUUCGGGUUGUAAACUCCUUUCGCUAGGGACGAAGCUUUUUGUGACGGUACCUAGAGAAGAAGCACCGGCUAACUACGUG